AUUCCAGCUCCAGUAGCGUAUAUUAAAGUUGUUGCAGUUAAAAAGCUCGUAGUUGGAUUUCUGGUUUCACAGAACUGGCCUACUUCCUCAAGGUCGUGUGCGCCGUGUUUUGUGUACCAUCCUUCUAGAAAUUGUGUUCCAUCCCUUCACUGGGAUAGAUCCGAGAUCUAGAUCUUUUACUUUGAAGAAAUUAGAGUGUUCAAAGCAGGCUCGCGCUGUGAAUACAUUAGCAUGGAAUAAUGGAAUAGGACUAUAGUCUCGUCGUUGGUUACGUGGACUGCAGUAAUGAUUAAUAGGGAUAGUUGGGGGCAUUAGUAUUUAUUAGCUAGAGGUGGAAUUCUCUAAUUUGAUAAAGACUAACUUAUGCGAAAGCAUUCACCAAGGAUGUCUUCAUCA
RNAcentral lists this ribosomal RNA (396 nucleotides) under Cercozoa sp. RNAcentral's name for it is "partial small subunit ribosomal RNA". It matches the Rfam family "Eukaryotic small subunit ribosomal RNA", at positions 582 to 975 of the family's 1831-position model. The record is from RNAcentral. Lineage: Eukaryota; Cercozoa.